Neomonachus schauinslandi (Hawaiian monk seal) is the source of this 629-nucleotide long non-coding RNA. RefSeq lists it as uncharacterized. The record is from RefSeq and is a predicted model, not a curated record. NCBI's taxonomy places the organism in Eukaryota, Metazoa, Chordata, Mammalia, Carnivora, Phocidae. The transcript is spliced from 3 exons.
AUGCGGAGAAGUGGGCAGGCACCUGCUGCAGAGAGAUGAAGUGGAGUCGUCAGCUUGCUUGCCCAGGGGAUGUGGGCAUCACGAACCCAGCCGGAAGAAUUCCUUGGUGAAGUUCUAUCACCGGACAGUAGGAAUUACUGGCCACGGGAAGCCACUCGUGUGGUCCUGGAGUAGCUUGGCACGCCCGAGGUUCACAGCCUUGCUCGGCUUCAGGUAAACCUACAAAACCCUGAAGGCUUAGGGGAUAAUUUUACAAAGCCACCGAGGCGAAUGGAAUGAUAAUUGUACCACAAGGGACGAAUGAGAGAGAAAUGGACGCAUCCAGGAAAGGGCUUCACACGUUCAGGCUUUGAACCUGUCUCUACCGGAAAUCCCAGCCGAGGGAAUUUUGACGCUGCCCUCCAUCCGUUACAGAUCUCAUGCUCUAACCACCUACAUUUUCAUCUUAUUUUCUCUGAGAGGGAUCUUGGGCCAUUCCCUUUGGCUCUGAGCUGUGCACCUACCCUAUUACUUUAAAAAAAACUCUACAGAUCAGCUGACCUUCAACUAACUUUAUGGACUACCUAUGGCAUGACAAGAUCCACGUUUGAAGCUUUUACAAAUCUGAUCUCAUUUACAUUAAGCCUGAC